UCCUUUGCUCUUUUUGUACUCUUUGCAGAUAUCAUGUUCAGGACACAUCGAUAGACAAAUAGCGUUUCUUUU
Molecule: transfer RNA, 72 nt
Filed under: Podospora comata
Lineage: Eukaryota; Fungi; Ascomycota; Sordariomycetes; Sordariales; Podosporaceae
Source: RNAcentral